This is a long non-coding RNA of Parus major (Great Tit), 1603 nucleotides long. The record is from Ensembl. NCBI's taxonomy places the organism in Eukaryota, Metazoa, Chordata, Aves, Passeriformes, Paridae.
UGUGGCUGAUUGCUGAGGGGAAGCCAAGUGUGGUGAGCGUGGAGAGGAAUCUGGGCUGGGUGAACUAGGAAGCUGCUGCUCUGAGAUUUUGCUUUAUGUUGAGACUCUCCCAGUCCUCACACCUUCCCAGAAGGAAAGGACCAUUCCUCUCCUCUCAUGUCUCUUUAAUGUUAAAGAAGAGGAGGCAUGAAAAGUUUAGAUAAUGCUAAGCCACUGCAGCAGAUGCUGCCGAGCAAAGCUGUGACAGAGCUCGGCCACAGAGAGCAGCAAAUCCGAGUGGGACGAAACCUGAGCAAAUGAGAAUCCUGCUCCCUGCUUGAAGAGAGAUCACCUUAUAUGGGAACACCAUGGACAAGAGGAUGAAUGCAUCCGGCUGGCUGCUGAGACUCCUGGGAUUUACAAGUUGGACCUUGAGGGCUCUGCACCUUUCCAGCCUCACCUCCUGUGUGUACAGUGUCAGUGGUCGCCUCACAGCUCUCCCGGCCCCCUGGACCAGAUUCACACAGUUGGCUCAGAACACACUGAGCAGCUGCAGCUUUGUGUGACUCUGCACAGCAGGAGAGGCACAGCCAAGACAGUUGUCUAGCCACUUCUCACAGACUCUGUCAGGAGAGGAUGAUGUUAACAGCUCAGUAAGUACCAGUGUGAAGGAAGCGGCUCACAAAAGCAGCAGGAUCUGGGAUACAGCAGAAUACACUGUACCAGUGCAGGCAAGUCUGCAGUUAAUGUCAGUUCAAUAUUCAGAAUUCAGAUUUUCUGCCCGCUUUUAUAUCCUCCUUUAACUGGCUCAUGCUGUUGAAUUAAACUUCUAGCUGGAACGCUUGAUUUCUCAAUCUAUCACCAGACCCAGAUAUGAAACUUCAUAUAAAAUUGUGAAGGAAAUUACUUCACCCUCAGCCCAAACAAUUACAAGCACUGUUGACCCAAGCAAAGGGCUAAAUAAGGAUUGAUGAGGUGUGGCAGGACCAAUGGUUUGGGUAGUUCCUUCUACAGCUUCCUCCUAUAGAAAGCUACAACAAUCUAAAAAGUCAAGUUCCCUAUCUUAUAUUUGAGGAGGACAGGUUGAAACUGUCUCUAAGUGGCAAGAAACCUUGAGUAAGAACUUGUUUCUUGACAACGGGCAGAUGUGUGAAUUAUAAUGCAACUGUUAAAAUCCUGUGAGGUCACGGGUUCUCUGUGGAAUCCAUGAAAAACCUUCCUAAGUAAGUGAAAGAUAUCUACAUUUUUUUGUGUUGAAAGAAAGAUACAUUGACAACAUCAUGAAAUUUUAAGGUACUCUCUGUCUAGGCACUUGUAGAUCUCAUGUAUGUAAAGCAGCUCUUUUCUUCACAGCUGUACUGUUAACACUCAUUAUAAUACCCAAAUAAUUGACUUCUACCAAGCUGCCCUGCUUGUAUCCUGCAGUGAAGUCAUAGCCUCCAGUUUGAACCAUCAUGCAGCUGCCAUAGAAACAGCUUUAGGUGUCACAGGCUUAUCUUGAAUUCACUGGAGACAUUUGGCUCAUUAAUUCAAAUGUCAAGGAAAAUGUAUCAACGUAAAAGAGCUUCAAUCAGGGACUGUAAUUGAAAAUAAAAAAGUUUCCUAAUGUGGGGUUUUCUUCUGC